UAGUCAAUGCUCGCAAGAGUGAACUAGCUAACUGAAAUCAAAGAGUUUAUUUAAGCUCAUGAUGUCGUAAGGGAAAAUAAUGAUAAUACCUUACUAUUAGUGUCGUCCAAAUCUGGUGCCAGAAGACUCGGUAAGACCAGAGACGCAAACGUUAAUCAUCAUAAUCAGGCGUAAAGGGUUUGUAGGCAGCUUUCACCCGCCCGGCUUCGCCGGGAUAUUACUAUUACAAAUAAAGUAGUUUAAUUGAAAGCUAGAAUCAAAAAGAGGUUAUAGUGUAUAACGCCUAGAGGAGGGCUGAUAUCCAUAGAUCCUAGGCAGAAUACUCAGGGCGAAGGCCACUCUCCACUAAUGAUUGACGCUGAGAAACGAAGGUUAGGGUAGGAAAUAGGAUUAGAUACCCCGGUACUCCUUUCUGUAAACGAUGAAUGGUAGUCAUUAGUUUUUUUAAACUAGAGACGAAGUUAACACAAUAACCAUUCCGCCUUGUGAGUACUACUGCAAAGUAGAAAACAAAAAAAUUAGUCGGUCUCGAAGCAAACGGAGUGAAGCAUGUUAUUUAAU
This 561-nucleotide ribosomal RNA is filed under the name Polyporus tuberaster. RNAcentral describes it as "partial small subunit ribosomal RNA". It matches the Rfam family "Bacterial small subunit ribosomal RNA", at positions 365 to 950 of the family's 1533-position model. Lineage: Eukaryota; Fungi; Basidiomycota; Agaricomycetes; Polyporales; Polyporaceae. The record is from RNAcentral.